CAGAGGGGCAAGCGUUGUCGGAAUUACUGGGCAUAAAGGGCGCGUAGGCGGCCUGCUAAGUCGAACGUGAAAUCCCUGGGCUCAACCCAGGAACUGCGUCCGAUACUGGUUGGCUUGAAUCCGGGAGAGGGAUGUGGAAUUCCAGGUGUAGCGGUGAAAUGCGUAGAUAUCUGGAGGAACACCGGUGGCGAAGGCGACAUCCUGGACCGGUAUUGACGCUGAGGCGCGAAAGCCAGGGGAGCAAACGGGAUUAGAUACCCCGGUAGUCCUGGCCCUAAACGAUGAAUGCUUGGUGUGGUGGGUAUCGAUCCCUACCGUGCCGAAGCUAACGCAUUAAGCAUUCCGCCUGGGGAGUACGGUCGCAAGGCUG
RNAcentral lists this ribosomal RNA (370 nucleotides) under uncultured organism. RNAcentral's name for it is "bacterial SSU rRNA". It matches the Rfam family "Bacterial small subunit ribosomal RNA", at positions 527 to 896 of the family's 1533-position model. The record is from RNAcentral.